This 502-nucleotide ribosomal RNA is filed under the name uncultured bacterium. RNAcentral's name for it is "partial 16S ribosomal RNA". It matches the Rfam family "Bacterial small subunit ribosomal RNA", at positions 899 to 1397 of the family's 1533-position model. The record is from RNAcentral.
ACUCAAAUGAAUUGACGGGGGCCCGCACAAGCGGUGGAGUAUGUGGUUUAAUUCGACGCAACGCGAAGAACCUUACCAGGCCUUGACAUGCCUCCUAUGGACCCAAGAGAUUGGGUUCUUCACUUCGGGUGGGGAGUGCACAGGUGCUGCAUGGCUGUCGUCAGCUCGUGUCGUGAGAUGUUGGGUUAAGUCCCGCAACGAGCGCAACCCUUAUUGUCAGUUGCUACCAGGUUAUGCUGGGCACUCUGAUAAAACUGCCGGUGACAAGCCGGAGGAAGGCGGGGAUGACGUCAAGUCCUCAUGGCCCUUACGGCCUGGGCUACACACGUACUACAAUGGUGGUGACAGUGGGCUGCGAACGCGCAAGCGGGAGCGAACCCCCAAAAGCCACCUCAGUUCAGAUUGCACUCUGCAACUCGAGUGCAUGAAGUUGGAAUCGCUAGUAAUCGCAGAUCAGCACGCUGCGGUGAAUACGUUCCCGGGCCUUGUACACACCGCCCGU